UUACUUUAGGCAAAUAAUAAAAAUUUAAACAUAAAUGUUUAUCAAAGAAUUGAUGGAUAAACCCUGCAAGUUCCCCCCAAAUGUGGGAAACUUGACUGCAUAAGUUGUGGUAGUGGAUGACUGUGUUUGUACUCUCCUUUG
Molecule: small nuclear RNA, 141 nt
Filed under: Mus caroli (Ryukyu mouse)
Lineage: Eukaryota; Metazoa; Chordata; Mammalia; Rodentia; Muridae
Description: predicted gene, 23000 (MGP_CAROLIEiJ_G0035631.1)
Source: RNAcentral